ACGGGAGGCAGCAGUGGGGAAUAUUGGGCAAUGGGCGAAAGCCUGACCCAGCAACGCCGCGUGAAGGAAGAAGGCCUUCGGGUUGUAAACUUCUUUUACCAGGGACGAAGGACGUGACGGUACCUGGAGAAAAAGCCACGGCUAACUACGUGCCAGCAGCCGCGGUAAUACGUAGGGGGCAAGCGUUAUCCGGAUUUACUGGGUGUAAAGGGAGCGUAGACGGCAAGGUAAGUCUGAAGUGAAAUGCCGGGGCUCAACCCCGGAACUGCUUUGGAAACUAUCUCGCUCGAGUACCGGAGGGGUAAGCGGAAUUCCUAGUGUAGCGGUGAAAUGCGUAGAUAUUAGGAGGAACACCAGUGGCGAAGGCGGCUUACUGGACGGUAACUGACGUUGAGGCUCGAAAGCGUGGGGAGCAAACAGGAUUAGAUACCCUGGUA
RNAcentral lists this ribosomal RNA (437 nucleotides) under uncultured Lachnospiraceae bacterium. RNAcentral describes it as "bacterial SSU rRNA". It matches the Rfam family "Bacterial small subunit ribosomal RNA", at positions 341 to 792 of the family's 1533-position model. The record is from RNAcentral. Lineage: Bacteria; Bacillati; Bacillota; Clostridia; Lachnospirales; Lachnospiraceae.